This is a long non-coding RNA of Oncorhynchus gorbuscha (pink salmon), 3205 nucleotides long. RefSeq lists it as uncharacterized. The record is from RefSeq and is a predicted model, not a curated record. Lineage: Eukaryota; Metazoa; Chordata; Actinopteri; Salmoniformes; Salmonidae. The transcript is spliced from 3 exons.
CUCAUGCUAGUUUUAGAGAAAAAAGCUGUGGAAAACUCAGCCAGAAGCUAGAAAGUGUCAAGUGAACCCACAACAUCACCACAAAUGUAUUUUCAAGCAAGCAGGGUGAAAAUAUAUUUGGACAUUUUUAUGGAUAACUGUCACGGAUAUCAUCCUCUUCGUCUGAAGAGGAGUAGCAAGGAUCGGACCAAUACGCAGUGUGAGUGGAGAGGAGGAAGACUGGAGUGGAAGAAGAGUGAAAGAGAUAGGAGGAAAGGUAAAGAUAUGAUUACAGAGCCUGCCAAUUUAUUAUUACAAUGUUUUUGAGAUAAAAAAUUAGGCAAGCAAUGGGAAUCUGUUAACCAAAGUAUUUUAUCUAAUAGUGUACUAUUUAUAAUUAAAGAUUGGAGAGGAAGGAGAAGGAAAAAUUAAGGGAGUAAAAUAAUGAAGUGAGGAGAGUGUGGAAGAGUGAGGUGAAAAGGCAAAGGGAAGGAAAGGAAGAAAAAGCAGGAAGAUGAGUGAAGAAAAGAGAAGAAAAAAUUAAGAGAGUAAGAAGAGUGACACAAGGAGAGUGAAGACGAACAGACAGAGGAGGUACAAUGGCUCAUUCCAAGAAACGGAAAUGCCAUUUUGAUGACAACAUGAUGAGAGAAUUUCCAUUUAUACACGCCGGUCAAGACGAUAGAAUGGUUAACUGCACCCUUUGUAAUUCCUCUUUUUCAAUUGGCAGCGGGGGAAGAACGGCAGCGGUAGAACAUCAACAGAAGAAAAAGCAUAAAGCCUCUCUGAUUGCCCGUGUUGGUAUGCCCUCUGCCACCACAUUCUUCAAGAAGGUAGAGCCUUCCCAAGAAGAAUAUUAGCUGUGCAGGAGGGUGUCUUUGCAUACCACACUAUGCGACACAAUCAUAGUUACAGAUCUAUGGGCUGCGAAGCACAACUGACAUGGAAGCUUGAUAAGCUGAAGUUUACAUGUGCUAGGACAAAAUGUGAAGCCAUAGUGAGUAACGUGUUAGUACCAUGGGCAACUACUUUGGUAACAGAGGACCUAGACCAGGUUGAAUUUGUGUCCCUGUCCAUUGAUGCGUCCAAUGAUGGACAUGUAAAGCUGCUGCCAAUAGUAGUCAGAUAUUGUAAAAUAUAUGAUGGCAGCACAUCUGUGGAAACAAAACUGCAUGAUUUUGUUGAAUUGAAAGGAGAAACAGCAGAGGAGAUUGCAGCUGAGGUCCUGGUGGUCUUCCAAAAAUGUAACCUGGAAAACAAAGUCGUGGCAUUCUCUGCCGACAACACAAAUACCAAUUGGUGGACUGAAUAGGCUGGGGAGGGUCAAUGUCCAUACCAAAGUUAAAAAUGCUCUGCAGUGGGAUGGCCAAAACAGACCAAACAUGGUCAAAACAGCUUUGGAUAUGAUUCCCCUUGAUGUUGAGUACCUGCUCACAAAGAUAUUUGGAUAUUUUCAUAUUUUCACCGUCAGAGUAGAAAGACUGAAGUGCUUUCGUAAGUUUGUUGGCCAGGAGUACCAUAACAUUUUAGGACACAGCAAUGUUUACUGGCUGUCCAUGCUCCCUGCUCUAGAAAGAGUGCUGAAAAUGUAUGUGCCAUUGAAAUCCUUUUUUCUUCUGAAGACAAAUGCCUUGUUGUCCUGUGAACAAUGUUUGAAGAUCCACUGAUUGAACUUUGGCUGGCCUUUGUCCAUGGAAACCUGACCGUAUUCAGUGACAAGAUCAAGAUGCUUGAAGGCCAGGACUGCUGUUUUGUGGAGUCAUCUGAAAUUCUGAGAAACGUUGAGGCAAAAUUGACUACAAGGUGUGAAGACAACUUCAUUCCAGUUUUGGUCAGAGGACUUCUGAGAGCUAGAGGGAAAUGGAGCCAUGUCUAUAGAGAGCUUUCUCAAAACAUCCCAAUCAUUCUUCACUAUGGCUGUGAACUACUUGCAAGCAUGGAGAAAGCACACAUAUAAUCUAAAAUAUUUACAUGGUCUCCUUUUGAAAAGGCAACCUCAGUGUGAAGAGAUCCAGAAGGCAGCAGGCACACUGCAGGAAAAAUGCCCCAAUGUGACCAUCAAUAAGGUUUCAUUGUUUGACGAGGUUACUGGCCUGCAAGAGUUCCUAAAGGGGGGAUCGUUUGAAGAAUGGAAAACAUCUGAGACAGUAGUCAGAGAUGGAGCACAGUGGUUACCCACUUCCAAGAGAACGACAUCCCACACACUAACCUGGCUAGAUUAGCAUCUGUUGUUAUGUGCUUACCUGGAAGUAAUGCACCAGUCGAGAGAGUGUUCUCUCAAAUGAAUUAUGUAUGGACAGCAGCAAGAAAUAGGUUCACUGUUCCUACCAUCAAGGCCAUGCUUAUUGUGAAGACAAACUUCAACCUCCCCUGCCAGGAGUUCAUGGACAAGCCUUCCAAAGACAGAGCAAUCCUGAAGAAGAUACAUUCUUCUGAGAAAUAUACAGAUUAGAUUGGUAUACGUAUAUUAUGUAGUUACCAAUCACAUCAUCGUCUUAUUUCUUUAUUAUGUUGUUAAGUAUUUCACAUAUACUAUUGUCUGUUUUUUUCAGUUUUGCUCAUGUUCUCUUCUGCUCUUAGUCUACCCAGACUACCAGGACCACUGAAUGGCUGUUCAGAUCAGUUCUACCCAGACUACCAGGACCACUGAAUGGCUGUUCAGAUCAGUUCUACCCAGACUACCAGCACCACUGAAUGGCUGUUCAGAUUGGACAGUUCUGUCUCGUCUGUAGUGUUUCUGUAAUAUAGUUGUUUUCUCUAUCACAGUGUGCCUGUUAGACUAAAUACAUGUAACCAGAAUUGUCCCCCUUUAUUAUUUCAUACAUAAUAACAUUGGAUAUUUUAAUGAUAUAUUUACCGCCGAAUGGGCAAGACCGUGUCUUUGAAUGGAGUAUGGUAGUAUGUGCCAGGUGCCACGGGUUGUGUCAAGAACUGCAACGCUGCUGGAUUUUUCACCCUCAACAGUUUUCUGUGUGUAUCAAGAAUGGUCCACCACCCAAAGGACAUCCAGCCAAAUUGACACAACUGUAGGAACAAUGGAGUCAACAUGGGCCAGCAUCCGUGUGGAAUGCUUUUGACACCUUGUAGAGUUCAUGCCCCGACAAAUUGAGGUUGUUCUAAGGAAAAAUAGGGGGGUGCAGGGUGCAUCUCAAUAUUAGGCAAGCAACACUGAGGCAUGCAUGAGAGCAUCAGCUGUUCCGCACGACUGUGUGAUCACGCUCUCCGU